GAAAUGCGAUAAGUAAUGUGAAUUGCAGAAUUCAGUGAAUCAUCGAAUCUUUGAACGCACAUUGCGCCCCUUGGUAUUCCGGGGGGCAUGCCUGUUCGAGCGUCAUUAUAACCCCUCAAGCUCUGCUUGGUGUUGGGGCCUGCCGUCUGGCAGCCCUUAAAAUCAGUGGCGGUGCCAUCUAGCUCUAAGCGUAGUAAUUUUUCUCGCUAUAGAGUCCCGGUGGAUGCUUGCCAUUAACCCCCAAUUUUCUAUGGUUGACCUCGGAUCAGGUAGGGAUACCCGCUGAACUUAA
Molecule: unclassified non-coding RNA, 292 nt
Filed under: uncultured Helotiales
Lineage: Eukaryota; Fungi; Ascomycota; Leotiomycetes; Helotiales
Description: sequence contains ITS1
Rfam family: 5.8S ribosomal RNA (bases 1-105)
Source: RNAcentral